GUUGAAGUGUUGUAUUUUGCCAAAAGUGCUGAGAUAACAGGAAUUCGCUCAGAGACCAUUUCUGUGCCACAAGAAAUAAGAGCGUUGCAGCUGUGGAAUGAGAUAGAAGCCCGACAUCCUGGAUUGGCUGAUGUCAGGAAUCAGGUGAUAUUUGCUGUCCGUCAAGAAUAUGUCGAGCUUGGAGAUCAACUCCUCCAGCUUCAAUCAGGAGACGAAAUUGCCAUCAUCCCCCCCAUUAGUGGAGGGUAGUGCUUGUGAGCCACUUGGGGAAGAUCUGAAUGAAGUUGAAGAGAACUCUAAAGAUAUAAUAAAAUUCACUUCUGAGAAGCUGUCCAUAGAUGAAGUCUCACAGUUGGUGAUUUCUCCACUCUGUGGUGCAGUAUCCCUCUUUGUAGGGACUACAAGAAAUAACUUUGAAGGGAAAAAAGUCAUUAGCUUAGAAUAUGAAGCAUAUCUCCCAAUGGCAGAAAAUGAAAUCCGAAAGAUCUGUAGCGACAUUAGGCAGAAAUGGCCAGUCAGACACAUAGCAGUGUUUCAUAGACUUGGCUCAGUUCCAGUGUCAGAAGCAAGCAUUAUCAUCGCUGUGUCCUCAGCCCAUAGGGCUGAAUCCCUCCAAGCUGUGAGCUAUGCCAUCGAUACUUUAAAAGCCAAGGUGCCCAUAUGGAAAAAGUUAAGAGUCUAGAAAUGCCUGCAGCAUUUUGGCUGGUAGCAAAGCUGAGGAAUGAAUUAACUGCUCAGAUCAGAAAGCCAGAGCAGAGGACCAGAGGGAAAUGUAUGAAGAAUCAUCAUCAUCCUGGAAAAAAAACAAAGAAUGCUUUUGGGCAACUGGUGAUUAAGUCACACAUUUUUUUUAAGAGUACUAAAAUUAAAUUUGGUAAACCUCUGUCUUUAAA
Molecule: RNA transcript, 893 nt
Organism: Mustela lutreola (European mink)
Lineage: Eukaryota; Metazoa; Chordata; Mammalia; Carnivora; Mustelidae
Gene: MOCS2
Gene name: molybdenum cofactor synthesis 2
Exons: 7
Source: RefSeq, a predicted model, not a curated record